Pan troglodytes (chimpanzee) is the source of this 396-nucleotide long non-coding RNA. RefSeq lists it as uncharacterized. Lineage: Eukaryota; Metazoa; Chordata; Mammalia; Primates; Hominidae. The transcript has 2 exons. The record is from RefSeq and is a predicted model, not a curated record.
GUUUAUCAAAGUGCUUAGCCUGACGCCUGACACGCCGUGUACCCAAGAUAAAUGUUUGUUGUGUCAGUCGAUCUGUCGAGGAAGGAGGCCUCAGCAUGCUGUUACUAGGAAUCUAAGGAACCCAGUGCUGAUGGAGAAAGGGGUGCAGUCCAGACCCUAACAGAGAGUUCUCGGAUCUUGCGCAGGGAGGAACUGAAGGCAGUCACAGAGUGCAGUGAGAGACAGCUGCUCUGAUACACAGUGGGGAGCCCGCGGAAAGCAGGAGGAGGAACGUGCCGUCUUUGUUUCAAAGGCAUCUUGUAUCAGUGUAAAAGCCAAGCUAUGUGUAAGUGCAGGUGGGCUGGCAGUGUGACAAGAUCUAGUACUUGGUGGAUGUAAAUAAAGUCAUCCUUGGCA